This 358-nucleotide ribosomal RNA is filed under the name Salmonella enterica subsp. enterica serovar Infantis. RNAcentral describes it as "partial 23S ribosomal RNA". Lineage: Bacteria; Pseudomonadati; Pseudomonadota; Gammaproteobacteria; Enterobacterales; Enterobacteriaceae. RNAcentral also lists the same sequence under 1 other name. The record is from RNAcentral.
GGGGCUGUUCGCCAUUUAAAGUGGUACGCGAGCUGGGUUUAGAACGUCGUGAGACAGUUCGGUCCCUAUCUGCCGUGGGCGCUGGAGAACUGAGGGGGGCUGCUCCUAGUACGAGAGGACCGGAGUGGACGCAUCACUGGUGUUCGGGUUGUCAUGCCAAUGGCACUGCCCGGUAGCUAAAUGCGGAAGAGAUAAGUGCUGAAAGCAUCUAAGCACGAAACUUGCCCCGAGAUGAGUUCUCCCUGAGACUUWRAGUCUCCUGAAGGAACGUUGAAGACGACGACGUUGAUAGGCCGGGUGUGUAAGCGCAGCGAUGCGUUGAGCUAACCGGUACUAAUGAACCGUGAGGCUUAACCUU